AAACCAACCGGGAUUGCCUUAGUAACGGCGAGUGAAGCGGCAAAAGCUCAAAUUUGAAAUCUGGUACCUUCGGUGCCCGAGUUGUAAUUUGGAGAGGGCAACUUUGGGGCCGUUCCUGUCUAUGUUCCUUGGAACAGGACGUCAUAGAGGGUGAGAAUCCCGUGUGGCGAGGAGUGCGGUUCUUUGUAAAGUGCCUUCGAAGAGUCGAGUUGUUUGGGAAUGCAGCUCUAAGUGGGUGGUAAAUUCCAUCUAAAGCUAAAUAUUGGCGAGAGACCGAUAGCGAACAAGUACAGUGAUGGAAAGAUGAAAAGAACUUUGAAAAGAGAGUGAAAAAGUACGUGAAAUUGUUGAAAGGGAAGGGCAUUUGAUCAGACAUGGUGUUUUGUGCCCUCUGCUCCUUGUGGGUAGGGGAAUCUCGCAUUUCACUGGGCCAGCAUCAGUUUUGGUGGCAGGAUAAAUCCAUAGGAAUGUAGCUUGCCUCGGUAAGUAUUAUAGCCUGUGGGAAUACUGCCAGCUGGGACUGAGGACUGCGACGUAAGUCAAGGAUGCUGGCAUAAUGGUUAUAUGCCGC
RNAcentral lists this ribosomal RNA (571 nucleotides) under uncultured Saccharomyces. RNAcentral describes it as "LSU rRNA". It matches the Rfam family "Eukaryotic large subunit ribosomal RNA", at positions 62 to 648 of the family's 3401-position model. The record is from RNAcentral. Lineage: Eukaryota; Fungi; Ascomycota; Saccharomycetes; Saccharomycetales; Saccharomycetaceae.